AUGUCAGCUGACCCACCGGUGUAUGUGAGUGAACUGAUUGAUGCAGCGACAAAGGCUUGGGAUCACCAGAAAGUUCAUGAACAUCUGCAGCCUCCGGACGCUGAAUUGAUUCUGAAGAUUCCGUUGAGCACACGGAACAUAGCAGACAGUUGGGCGUGGCACUAUGAGCGGUCUGGUCUCUUCACUGUCCGCUCUGCGUACAGACUUUUGGUUGACACGAAGAGGAGGAGAGAAGAUUGGCUAGAGGGACGGCCUAAUACGUCUGAUGUGUCUGCUACCCAGGGGCAAUGGAAGAAGCUUUGGAGAGUAAAAGUUCCUAGUGUGGUGAGACAUUUUGCUUGGCGCCUGGCCAAGAAUUCUGUACCUACAGAAUCUGUUCGACACCACCGCAAGAUGACUGAUGAAGCAUUAUGCCCUAUAUGCAAUGGGGCGGAGGACUCCUGGCGACAGGCUCUUGUGGAUUGCAACAUGCCUAAAUGUGUAUGGGCUCUAAUGGAUGAUCAACUGGUUGAACACAUGGUUGCAUGCAAAAAUGACGACGCCCGACUAUGGUUGAUGGAGCUGAUGGAGACAACCAGAGAAGAGGAGUUCGUGAGGAUUCUAGUGACACUAUGGUCCAUCUGGUGGGCGCAUAGAAAAGCCAUCCAUGAGCAAGAAUUUCAAUCUCCAUUAUCAACCUUUUGCUUUGUUGAGAAAUACCUUGGAGACCUGCUCCUGUUGUCGGGAAGAGCUGCACCCAACAACACUGUUUGUACAGCCACUGAAGCAAACGUGGGAAGAAGGAAAAGAACAUGGAAGCAACCAAGGCAGGGUCACAUGAAAGUAAUGGUAGAUGCGGCAGUAGCAAGGAGCGGACACAAGGGAUCAUGUGCGGCGAUCUGCCGAGACGAGGACGGCCAUUUUUUGGGAGCCUCGUCAGUUGUGGUACUGGGACAAGUUGACCCAGAGAUUUUGGAAGCGAUGGCCUUCAGCGAGGGACUCGAUCUGUCAUCUGAUUUAUACCUGCAACGAGUUCAUGUGUCAACUGAUUGUGCAGCUACUAUAAGUCAUAUGAAAGGCACGUACAAGGGACCUAGUACCACUGUCAUCCAGGAUAUUGGAAAGAAGAUGGAAUCAUUUGAAUCAGUCUGCUUCGAACACGAGAAGAGGGAUAUGAACUGGGAGGCUCAUGAUCUAGCUAGAGCCUCGACCAGUUUAGAGUGUGACCGCCAUGUCUGGUUGAUUAAUCCUCCUAAUUUCUUAUGUAUUGAACAAUCUGUCGUGGUUGAAUAA
This 1272-nucleotide ribosomal RNA is filed under the name Triticum aestivum (bread wheat). Its description in RNAcentral is "partial small subunit ribosomal RNA". Lineage: Eukaryota; Viridiplantae; Streptophyta; Magnoliopsida; Poales; Poaceae. The record is from RNAcentral.